CAGUGUUGUCCAUGUCUCUACCCAGGCUUCUGUGUAGUCUACUGGUGGGGUCUCCCUACCUGCUGGUGACCAUCAUACUGCUGGUGAAAUGCUGCAGGAGCAGGACUCAAGGUGAAACCAGGGUACCCAGGAAGACCCACCAAGACCAAUUAGGUGAUCGUGUUGAAGAAGAGUGAGGCUGAGGUCACCUGAUCACCAUAACAACCAUCAGAAUGGAACUCAUGGAAUUCUAAUAUAGAACUGUGAGUCACUAUGCUGUAUGUUGUUACAUUGUAGCUCCACCUGCUGGAACAAUAGUGGCAUUUGAUCAAAUGUGAUCUAUUAACUGAUACAUGUAUUAUUCUGAUUGGAAUGUGUUUUAAUAUAAUGUGUGUUGUAUUAUUCAUUCAGCAGCUUUAACAUCAGUCAUAUACUGGUCAUAUACUGUAUAGCAUUAUGGUUGAUACAUUGUAAAUGCCAUAACUUUUCAUGUCUAUACAGAUCAACUAAUAUGUGUUGAG
Molecule: long non-coding RNA, 500 nt
Organism: Salvelinus fontinalis (brook trout)
Lineage: Eukaryota; Metazoa; Chordata; Actinopteri; Salmoniformes; Salmonidae
Exons: 3
Source: RefSeq, a predicted model, not a curated record